RNAcentral lists this non-coding RNA (81 nucleotides) under Modestobacter sp. The record is from RNAcentral. Lineage: Bacteria; Bacillati; Actinomycetota; Actinomycetes; Geodermatophilales; Geodermatophilaceae.
GAGGAAGCCGGUGCGAACCCGGCGCGGUCCCGCCACUGUGAGCUCCCGUCGCGAUCGUGCGCGGAGGCGAGUCAGACACUC